GGCCACAUUAUCCAGUAGGAGGUGCACUACUCGUGCACUGUGUUCAACCAUUCAGUCAAUCACAAGUGCUGCUGUGAAGAGAACAAUUGUCAGACUGAAUGUUGAACAUCAGCUAGUUUCUCCUGUUGAUUUAAACCUUGUUGUAGAGAUGGAACAUUGGCUGUGGAUUAUUCUUGCUGCUCUUUUCUUUGAGUGUAAAGGAGAAGACAGCGUGAACCAGACAACAGGAGAUGUCAUCGCUACUGAAGGACACACACUCACACUGGACUGUACAUUUGAGGCAGCUAAAGCAAGUCCAACUUUGUUCUGGUACAAACAGGAAGUUCAUGAUUACCCAAAGUACAUGCUGAAAAGUUUCUCAAACAACGUAUAUAAAGCUCCAGAGUUCCAGAAAGACAGAUUUGAUGCUAGAAUCAACAAGACAUCAGUUCCUCUGAGGAUCCAGAAGCUUCAGCUGUCUGACUCUGCUGUGUACUACUGUGCUCUGCAGCCCACAGUGACAGGAAACACCAAAACUCUGUACAAAAACCUUUGGAGCAAAGACGACACAAUACUCCACAACGUCCACUAGAGGGAGUCACACUCUGUUCCACUUCAACAGGAGCUGAUGAUGCAGUCUAGAUUGUUUCCCCUCAUGAGUUCAGAAGGAAACAGAACCAGACUGGACAGAGAGUCCUUCUCUCAGCAUUUCACUGUUUUAACUGCUACACUAUGAAUUAUGGACAAUGAGCGGUCUGGGUAUCAUCGGAUAAUCCGUAAUUCCUUUUGAAUUCAAAAACGAAAAAAAGAUUUUUUAUUUUUUCGUUUUAAGCUAAAAACGCGAAAACGUCCGUUUUCUCAUUUUUAGUUUCUGAAUCAAAAAACGAAAAACAGAUCCAAAUUGGGUCUAUUUUGUUUUUUGCGAAUUCCUUUUAUCAUUAUUCAUUUUUGAUUGAAGAACGGGAGU
Sebastes umbrosus (honeycomb rockfish) is the source of this 946-nucleotide non-coding RNA. The record is from the annotation of a RefSeq genome assembly. NCBI's taxonomy places the organism in Eukaryota, Metazoa, Chordata, Actinopteri, Perciformes, Sebastidae.